This 468-nucleotide ribosomal RNA is filed under the name uncultured bacterium. RNAcentral describes it as "partial 16S ribosomal RNA". It matches the Rfam family "Bacterial small subunit ribosomal RNA", at positions 28 to 507 of the family's 1533-position model. The record is from RNAcentral.
GACGAACGCUGGCGGCGUGCUUAACACAUGCCAGUCGAACGGAAAGGCCCUGCUUUUGUGGGGUGCUCGAGUGGCGAACGGGUGAGUAACACGUGAGUAACCUGCCCUUGACUUUGGGAUAACUUCAGGAAACUGGGGCUAAUACCGGAUAGGAGCUCCUGCUGCAUGGUGGGGGUUGGAAAGUUUCGGCGGUUGGGGAUGGACUCGCGGCUUAUCAGCUUGUUGGUGGGGUAGUGGCUUACCAAGGCUUCGACGGGUAGCCGGCCUGAGAGGGUGACCGGCCACAUUGGGACUGAGAUACGGCCCAGACUCCUACGGGAGGCAGCAGUGGGGAAUAUUGCACAAUGGGCGGAAGCCUGAUGCAGCAACGCCGCGUGCGGGAUGACGGCCUUCGGGUUGUAAACCGCUUUCGCCUGUGACGAAGCGUGAGUGACGGUAAUGGGUAAAGAAGCACCGGCUAACUACGUG